AGGCUUUGAUCCUGGCUCAGAUUGAACGCUGGCGGAAUGCUUUACACAUGCAAGUCGAACGGCAGCACGGGUGCUUGCACCUGGUGGCGAGUGGCGAACGGGUGAGUAAUAUAUCGGAACGUACCCAGUAAUGGGGGAUAACUAGCCGAAAGGUUAGCUAAUACCGCAUACGCCCUGAGGGGGAAAGCGGGGGACCGUAAGGCCUCGCGUUAUUGGAGCGGCCGAUAUCUGAUUAGCUAGUUGGUGGGGUAAUGGCCUACCAAGGCGACGAUCAGUAGCUGGUCUGAGAGGGUGACCGGCCACACUGGGACUGAGACACGGCCCAGACUCCUACGGGAGGCAGCAGUGGGGAAUAUUGCACAAUGGGCGCAAGCCUGAUGCAGCAACGCCGCGUGAGGGACGACGGCCUUCGGGUUGUAAACCUCUUUUAGCAGGGAAGAAGCGAAAGUGACGGUACCUGCAGAAAAAGCACCGGCGAAAA
Molecule: ribosomal RNA, 481 nt
Filed under: uncultured beta proteobacterium
Lineage: Bacteria; Pseudomonadati; Pseudomonadota; Betaproteobacteria
Description: bacterial SSU rRNA
Rfam family: Bacterial small subunit ribosomal RNA
Source: RNAcentral